GGACGAAAGUCUGACGGAGCAACGCCGCGUGAGUGAAGAAGGUUUUCGGAUCGUAAAACUCUGUUUUCAGGGACGAAUGUGCUAUUUGUGAAUAAUGAGUAGUAAUGACGGUACCUGACAAGAAAGCCACGGCUAACUACGUGCCAGCAGCCGCGGUAAUACGUAGGUGGCAAGCGUUGUCCGGAAUUAUUGGGCGUAAAGCGCGCGCAGGUGGGAUAAUAAGUCUGGUGUUAAAGUUCGGGGCUCAACCCCGUGAAGCAUUGGAAACUAUUAUUCUUGAGUGCAGGAGAGGAAAGUGGAAUUCCUAGUGUAGCGGUGAAAUGCGUAGAUAUUAGGAGGAACACCAGUGGCGAAGGCGACUUUCUGGACUGUGUCUGACACUGAGGCGCGAAAGCCAGGGUAGUGAACGGGAUUAGAUACCCCGGUAAUCCUGGCCGUAAACGAUGGGUACUAGGUGUUGGGGGUAUCGACCCCUCCAGUGCCGGAGUUAACACAAUAAGCACUCCGCCUGGGGAGUACG
Molecule: ribosomal RNA, 520 nt
Filed under: uncultured bacterium
Lineage: Bacteria
Description: bacterial SSU rRNA
Rfam family: Bacterial small subunit ribosomal RNA
Source: RNAcentral